This 75-nucleotide transfer RNA is filed under the name Anguilla anguilla (European eel). RNAcentral describes it as "tRNA-OTHER". The record is from RNAcentral. Lineage: Eukaryota; Metazoa; Chordata; Actinopteri; Anguilliformes; Anguillidae.
GGCACGGUGGCGCAGUGGGUAGCGCUGUCGCCUCACAGUACGAAGGUUGUGAUAUCGAAUCUCGGCUCUGUGCGG